This 989-nucleotide long non-coding RNA is filed under the name Capsicum annuum. RNAcentral's name for it is "long non-coding RNA (CANN_LNC006508)". The record is from RNAcentral. Lineage: Eukaryota; Viridiplantae; Streptophyta; Magnoliopsida; Solanales; Solanaceae.
CCCCUUAGUGCAUUAAAUUUCAUCUUCUUCCCUUCAUUCUAUAGGAUUCCUAUCUUCUGACCAAAAAUAUCUUUAUCUUCCUCUCCAAUUUUUCACAACUUCGUGUAUUGACCAGAAAAUGCGAGGAAGAAAUAAGUGAGACAGAGAAGAGAGAGAUCGAUGGAUUAGAAUUAGUGAGGAAGAAAGAGGCGAGGCAGAGAAGAGAGAGAGAGAGAGACAAAGAAGCUGGUUGUUAAGUUUUCAUUGAUUGGUUAUGGGGAAAAAAAGCAGUGUCAAUAAUAGAAAUGAACUCUAAACCUAAGAACUAGAAUAAAGAAAAAGAGAAGACAGAUUGACGUAAGAAUGGAAAUAGCUGAAAACUCACAACUUGCUUGAUGGACAAAUCCCACAUCAAUUAAGUAAUUCAAAACAAGCACGUAUCCUCUUAGGUGUUAUGAAGAAAAUGAAUUUCUCAAGCAAGUAUCUCUUAGAUAACCCUCAAGAGGAUUGACCUCUCAAGCAAGUGGUCUUAUCAAAAUUUGUUAUUUUCACCUAGUAUAAUCUAUACUAGCUAUUGUGUAAAAACCCGAAAGUGGCAUUCCAUAAAUUGCAAAAAGUAGCCAAUAUUACACUGUUAGUUGACACACGAUGGGCUGAUCUCAUGUAUGGGCUUAAUGACCGUAUGUGCUAUUCACGGUCCGUAGGUGGCUCCAUAGCAUCAAGACAGAAGCUAGCAAUGUCCAUUCUCAACAAUCAAAGUACUGGUCAUAAGUGAAGUACAAGCCAUAUGUUGGAUAUGAUGCAACCGUAUGUGACUCGAGUGCCUCACGAUCAACAUACGGUUAGUAAGUUGCAUUUACGCUAUCGUAUGUGAAGUGUGCGUUUCAUUUUUCUUCCUAAUCCAGUUAUUCUUCUAGAUGGAGCUUUCUACUUCCAUUAAGCACAUUUUUUGGAUUCAAUCCUUCAUUUCAAGCGUUUGAAGUAGCGACUUGCUGGAAAGCCCUUCAACU